RNAcentral lists this unclassified non-coding RNA (346 nucleotides) under fungal sp. RNAcentral's name for it is "partial internal transcribed spacer region". The record is from RNAcentral. Lineage: Eukaryota; Fungi.
AAGUCGUAACAAGGUUUCCGUAGGUCCUGCGGAAGGAUCAUUAACACGUAUCCAACGUUAAACCCCCCUGUGAACUUUUAUACUUGCUCUCCUAGCCCGCCGGACCUCAGUUUGGUAGGCGAAGAUCGAGCGAUCGUUGCAAGUGGCCUGGUUUCCCCAAGCAGUUAGUGUCUGGAAGUGUCAUUGAUUGUGUAAGGAUAACGCUUUUCGACCACUAGAGGCCGAACACCGGCCGGUGACCAGGUCGCCGUGGCUUCGGCCCCCUAACCCCACUACCUGAACUCGCCUCGUAGGAAACUGCGGGCAACAAAACGAACAACUGUUAACAAUGGAUAUCUUGGUUCUC